This is an RNA transcript of Piliocolobus tephrosceles (Ugandan red Colobus), 1935 nucleotides long. It is a transcript of the gene named peptide deformylase, mitochondrial, with no coding region annotated. The record is from RefSeq and is a predicted model, not a curated record. The transcript has 3 exons. Lineage: Eukaryota; Metazoa; Chordata; Mammalia; Primates; Cercopithecidae.
UGGUGCUCACUCCCGGUCUGGGCAGGAAGUGGGGGAUCCAGCCGCUUCCUUGCUGUGGGCUGGCUGACGGCGCUUCCCGGCGUGCCCUGUGCUGCGGCCGGAAGGGGCGGGUCGGGUUACUGUUGCAGGGGCCGCCAUGGCCCGGCUGUGGGGCACGCUGAGUCUUGGGCCGCUGUGGGCGGCAGUGCCGUGGGCAGGGGCGGCAGCCGUCGGUGCUCGGGCCUGCAGCUCCACGGCCGCCCCAGACGGCGUCGAGGGCCCUGCGCUUCGGCGCUCCUAUUGGCGCCACCUGAGGCGCCUGGUACUGGGUCCUUCCGAACCGCCGUUCCCGCACGUGUGCCAGGUCGGGGACCCUGUGCUGCGGGGCGUGGCGGCCCCGGUAGAGCGGGCGCAGCUGGGCGGGCCCGAGCUGCAGCGGCUCACGCAGCGGCUGGUCCAGGUGAUGCGGCGGCGGCGCUGCGUGGGCCUAAGCGCGCCGCAGCUGGGGGUGCCGCGGCAGGUGCUGGCGCUGGAGCUCCCCGAGGCGCUGUGUCGGGAGUGCCCGCCGCGUCAGCGCGCGCUUCGACAGAUGGAGCCCUUCCCCUUGCGCGUGUUCGUGAACCCCAGCCUGCGGGUGCUGGACAGCCGCCUAGUCACCUUCCCCGAGGGCUGCGAGAGCGUCGCCGGCUUCCUGGCCUGCGUGCCCCGCUUCCAGGCGGUGCAGAUCUCAGGGCUGGACCCCAAUGGAGAACAGGUGGUGUGGCAGGCAAGCGGGUGGGCAGCCCGCAUCAUCCAGCACGAGAUGGACCACCUGCAGGGCUGCCUGUUUAUUGACAAAAUGGACAGCAGGACAUUCACAAACGUCUGUUGGAUGGAGGUGAAUGACUAAAGCUUUGCUACUGGGGCUGAGGAUUCCGGAUACCAAAACGCACACACUUCCACUUUGAGCUGGGCACAUCUUACUUCGCAUCAACUUGAAUGGCUUGUGUAUGACAGGAAACUGGGCUGCUGAGGCAUGGCAGACUGAGCUGGAGGAAGAUGUCAGAAAUGUUUGCCCUGAAAUCAGCUAUGAACGGAAUGUUGUAUACAACUUGAGGAGAAAAAUCACCCCCAAAGGAGUGGACGUUUCCUGACAGUUUUGUAUGGAGGAAGGUGGGGUAACUGCAUUCGUCUGCAGUAGACGCGAGUUCCUCGGACCUGUAUAAUCUCCCAAAGCCAAGGUUUGGUAAUAAUGUAGCCCCUAAAUAUCUGAAAGCUGUCUUUAAAAAUGCAGGCCGAACGACGGCGAGAACUAUCUGGAUCCCAAACACCCCCAGCCAAACUUCUGAGGCCUUAAGGGGAGGAGGUCUUGCACACCUGACUGGAGAACAGGCCUGAGAACUGCAGCGUUCCUGUUUCCUGCUCUGCUUUAGAAGAGAGAGCAGAGAGAAAACCAGAGGGUCUUUUAAUUGGAGGUAAGGGUGGUCCUUCAGAGUCCCAGGCAAGAGUCAAAGAUGAGAUCACUCGGGUGGCUCAAGAAGGGAAAAGGAUUUAUUAGACCAUUUCCAGGACAGGGACCCGGGGGCAGUGGCUGGGUUCAGUGUUCUCACACUCAGGAAGAAAAGGCAGUGAACACCCGCCUGACUGCCUUCCCCUGAUCUGAACGACACCAUCUCCUCCCCCAAGGAAGACACAGCCCUGGAUGUGAACCUAGGAGGGUGGGAAUGGCUUAUGUCACUCAGUCUUUGAGGCAGAGCUUGGGCUGGGGUUGCAGGAACAUCAGCCAAUUUGCUCUCAGUGAGCAAAACUUGGGUGUAAAAGGAAUGGGCAGUGGAGCUGGCCAACUGUCUGGAGGUCUGGGUGACCUCGCAGCAUGGCUGCUCCCCCCGCCCCCCACUCCUUGACACUUCCAGGUGAUUUUAUCUUUAUUUAUAAACAAGACGAAAAUCCAAGCAGCAUUAAUUUAGGGGAACAAAA